UAGACCAAGAUGAGGAAAGAAUCUCAGAGCUCAAAGGCCAGUACUUCACAUCGACACAGUCAGACGAAAGUUAAAAAAAUUUUAUUUUCAAGAGAAUUAAAUCGUUUAUUGAUUACACGUGAUAAUGGAUGAUACACAAGCUUCAUUCCCAUCUAUAAUUUUAUCUGGUACCAUUAUUCAAUUUAGAUAUAUUGCAUAGGAUGUGCCAACAAUCACUUUUAUAACCAUUCCAUGAUUUUGCUUGGGUAAUCCCUUUUAAUGGUGAACUUCAGGUCACAACAGUAACUAUCAGUUCAACUACACCAAGGUUUCCAAAGACAAUGGCUUCUCCACCCAAGCAGGUUGUAUAUAAAUUCCAAAUAGAACCUGGCAUCACCCUGAAGGAAUUCUAACUUCACACUGUUGGGGAAAUUUACCAAGAUGGCUUCAGAGUAGACUAACUUUACACAGCACAUUAAAAAAAAAGACAUUUAUUCAGCAUCACGAUCAGACUAUUACAUUUAGCAAUCAACAGCAUGGGUGCAAAAAAAAAAUCUACAUUAAAACCCUUUGUUGGAAUGCUUUACACUUUCCACAGAACAGAAACUAAAAUAACCUGUUAUACAAUUAGUCACAAAUACAGUCCUUGAGUUUUUUGCCCAUACACAUGAGUAUUUGUCUAAAACAUGUCUUCUUUGUAGCAGCUAGGCCCUGCCACCACUGUGCUUGGCUGAGUUCACAAAUCUGUCGUAACCUGUAGCUUCCCUGUCACUUCUCUGGCUCUCCUCUCCUGCUAAGCUUUGUUUCCUAAUUAAAAUCUUCAAUGAACAAAACUUCCAAGAAGUAUGUAAAGAGACCAAAUCUGCA
Molecule: long non-coding RNA, 846 nt
Filed under: Homo sapiens (human)
Lineage: Eukaryota; Metazoa; Chordata; Mammalia; Primates; Hominidae
Description: HSALNT0231590
Source: RNAcentral